This 253-nucleotide ribosomal RNA is filed under the name uncultured bacterium. Its description in RNAcentral is "partial 16S ribosomal RNA". It matches the Rfam family "Bacterial small subunit ribosomal RNA", at positions 524 to 776 of the family's 1533-position model. The record is from RNAcentral.
UACGCAGGGGGCUAGCGUUGUUCGGAAUGACUGGGCGUAAAGGGCGCGUAGGCGGUUUUUUAAGUGAGGCGUGAAAGCCCUGGGCUUAACCCAGGAGGUGCGUUUCAUACUGGAAGACUUGAGUACGAGAGAGGAAAGUGGAACUUCUAGUGUAGAGGUGAAAUUCGUAGAUAUUAGAAAGAACACCAGUGGCGAAGGCGGCUUUCUGGCUCGUAACUGACGCUGAGGCGCGAAAGCGUGGGGAGCAAACAGG